GACGAACGCUGGCGGCGUGCUUAACACAUGCAAGUCGAACGGAAAGGCCCUGCUUGCAGGGUACUCGAGUGGCGAACGGGUGAGUAACACGUGGGUGAUCUGCCCUGCACUUCGGGAUAAGCCUGGGAAACUGGGUCUAAUACCGGAUAGGAGCCAUUCUGAGUGUGAUGGUUGGAUAGUUUUUUUGGUGUGGGAUGAGCUCCCGGCCUGUCAGCUUGUUGGUGGGGUAAUGGCCUACCAAGGCGGCGACGGGUAGCCGGCCUGAGAGGGUGGACGGCCACAUUGGGGCUGGGAAUCGGCCCAGACUCCUACCGGAGGCAGCAGUUGGGAAUAAUGCACAAUUGGCGCAAGCCUGAUGCAGCGACGCCGCGGUGGGGAUGACGGGCUUCGGGUUGUAAACUCCUUUCGCUAGGGACGAAGCUUUUUGUGACGGUACCUAGAUAAGAAGCACCGGCUAACUACGUG
RNAcentral lists this ribosomal RNA (465 nucleotides) under uncultured bacterium. RNAcentral's name for it is "partial 16S ribosomal RNA". It matches the Rfam family "Bacterial small subunit ribosomal RNA", at positions 28 to 507 of the family's 1533-position model. The record is from RNAcentral.